GAUCCAGGAGUGUGGAUGGGUAGGAGAGCGUUGUGUAACUAGUGAAGCGGCGGAGGAAUCCAGCCGUGGAAGUUACACAAGUGAGAAUGUAGACAUGAGUAGCGAAAGACGGGUGAGAAACCCGUCCACCGAAUGACCAAGGGUUCCUGAGCCAGGCUAAUCCGCUCAGGGUAAGUCGGGUCCUAAGGCGAGGCCGACAGGCGUAGUCGAUGGACAACUGGUUGAUAUUCCAGUACCCACAAUAAACCGACCGUGACGAAUCAAUAAUGCUAAGUGUUUGAAGUUGGCUAGCAAUAGCUGAUGGAGCGCACGACCCAAGUUGGUAGUAGUCAAGCAAUGGAGAGACGCAGGAAGGUAGUCCAACCCAGGCGAUGGUUGACCUGGGGUAAGAGUGUAGGAGGUUCUGUAGGCAAAUCCGCAGAACAAUCUCUGAGACUUAAUGCCGAGCCGUAAGGCGAAGUGGAUGAUCCUAUGCUGCCAAGAAAAUCUUCUAGCGAGGUUUAUAGUGGCCCGUACCCGAAACCGACACAGGUGGUCAGGUAGAGAAUACCAAGGUGAUCGAGAGAAUCGUGGUGAAGGAACUCGGCAAAAUACCCCCGUAAUAAACGGCGGUGGUAACUAUAACCAUCCUAAGGUAGCGAAAUUCCUUGUCGGGUAAGUUCCGACCUGCACGAAUGGCGUAACGACUUGAGCGCUGUCUCCACCAUGAACUCGGCGAAAUUGCAGUACGAGUAAAGAUGCUCGUUACGCGCGGAAAGACGGAAAGACCCCGGGACCUUUACUAUAUCUUGAUAUUGGUACUCGGAACGUUCUGUGUAGCAUAGGUGGGAGACUUUGAAGCGGCACGCCAGUGUUCGUGGAGUCAAAAAUUGAAAUACCACUCUGAACGUUUUGAGUUUCUAACCUCGGCCCAUUAUCUGGGUCAGGGACAGUGUCUGGUGGGUAGUUUAACUGGGGCGGUUGCCUCCCAAAAAGUAACGGAGGCGCUCAAAGGUUCCCUCAGCCUGGUUGGUAAUCAGGUGUCGAGUGUAAGUGCACAAGGGAGCUUAACUGUGAGACAGACAUGUCAAGCAGGUGCGAAAGCAGGAACUAGUGAUCCGGCGGUGGCUUGUGGAAGCGCCGUCGCUCAACGGAUAAA
RNAcentral lists this ribosomal RNA (1138 nucleotides) under Candidatus Allofontibacter communis. RNAcentral describes it as "partial 23S ribosomal RNA". It matches the Rfam family "Bacterial large subunit ribosomal RNA", at positions 1206 to 2460 of the family's 2925-position model. The record is from RNAcentral. Lineage: Bacteria; Pseudomonadati; Pseudomonadota; Alphaproteobacteria; Candidatus Pelagibacterales; Candidatus Pelagibacteraceae.